UAGGGAAUCUUCCGCAAUGGGCGAAAGCCUGACGGAGCAACGCCGCGUGAGUGAUGAAGGUCUUCGGAUCGUAAAACUCUGUUAUUAGGGAAGAACAAAUGUGUAAGUAACUAUGCACGUUUUGACGGUACCUAAUCAGAAAGCCACGUCUAACUACGUGCCAGCAGCCGCGGUAAUACGUAGGUGGCAAGCGUUAUCCGGAAUUAUUGGGCGUAAAGCGCGCGUAGGCGGUUUUUUAAGUCUGAUGUGAAAGCCCACGGCUCAACCGUGGAGGGUCAUAGGAAACUGGAAAACGUGAGUGCAGAAGAGGAAAGGGGAAUUCCAUGUGUAGCGGUGAAAUGCGCAGAGAUAUGGAGGAAAACCAGUGGCGAAGGCGACUUUCUGGUCUGUAACUGACGCUGAUGUGCGAAAGCGUGGGGAUCAAACAGG
RNAcentral lists this ribosomal RNA (429 nucleotides) under Actinomycetes bacterium. Its description in RNAcentral is "Actinobacteria bacterium partial 16S ribosomal RNA". It matches the Rfam family "Bacterial small subunit ribosomal RNA", at positions 355 to 776 of the family's 1533-position model. The record is from RNAcentral. Lineage: Bacteria; Bacillati; Actinomycetota; Actinomycetes.